GGCCAGUUAGCUCAGCUGGUUAGAGCGUGGUGUUAAUAACUCCAAGGUCGUGGGUUCUAUCCCCAUACGGUCCA
Molecule: transfer RNA, 74 nt
Filed under: Rattus norvegicus (Norway rat)
Lineage: Eukaryota; Metazoa; Chordata; Mammalia; Rodentia; Muridae
Rfam family: tRNA
About the family: Transfer RNA (tRNA) molecules are approximately 80 nucleotides in length.
Source: Rfam by way of RNAcentral